GAAAUUAAAUCAAUAUUGUGUUGAAUAAAAAUUGAGUUGUUUUUAAGAAUAGAUAAAUAGUGCUUGGAUGGUUAGAUUAGAACAAGAGUAAUAAGAGUUAUAAUUUUAAAAUUAAAAUUAUAUUAUCUAAUUAAUUAAUAUCAAAAUAUUACUUAAAAAUAAAUAAUAAAUAAAUUAUUAAUAAUUUAUUAUAAAUAAUAAAAUAAUAAUAUUGAUUAUCUAAUUAAUAAUAAUAAUAAUUAUUAUUAAAUAAUAAUAUUAAUAAAUAAUUAUAAUAAUAAUUAAUAAUAAUAUCAAUUAUCUAAUUAUUAAUAAUUAUUAAUUAAUAAUAAUAUCGAUUAUCUAAUUAUUAAUAAUAAUAGUUAUAAAUAAAUAAUAAUAAUUGUAAAAAUAUUAUAAUUAAUUAUAAAUAAUAAAUUACUAUAUUAAUUAUUAAAUUAUUAAUAAUUAAUUAUAUAUAAUAAAUCAAUAAUAAUAUCGAUUAUCUAAUUAUUAAGAAUAAUAAUUAUUAAUAAUUAAUUAUAAAUAUUAAAUUAAUAAUAGUAAUUAUCUAAUUAAUAAUAAUUAAUUAUAAAUAAUAAAUUAAUUAAUUAUUUUAUUAUUUAAGUAAUAAAUAUUAAUUUAAAUAUAUUAAUUAGAUUAAUUAAAGAUUUACUGUCAUUAAAAUUAAAUUUAGACUUUAAUUAACCGUGUUCUCAUUCGGGAAAAAACGUGUUCCAGGAAAAAGGAGGAAUAACAGUUCCAGCCAUAUACUAGCUUAUUCCAGAAACCCGAAAACUACUGUUUCCGAAAACGAAAUGCGACGUUUGGAAACAAAGGGGAGAACAAGGGCUUAUUCGCCCUCUUGUUUCUGAACCAAACGCUACCUUUGGGUAUCGCAGCACGGGAAGUCUAAGAGAGACCCCCUGUAUCAUGCCUUUUAAUUACUGGUAUGAUACGUAUCGCUUCAUGCCGACCGGCACGAUGGUUACUUUAAAUCUUGCUUUGCGAAUCCAACUAUU
Molecule: long non-coding RNA, 1001 nt
Filed under: Ananas comosus (pineapple)
Lineage: Eukaryota; Viridiplantae; Streptophyta; Magnoliopsida; Poales; Bromeliaceae
Description: long non-coding RNA (ACOM_LNC038852)
Source: RNAcentral